RNAcentral lists this ribosomal RNA (462 nucleotides) under uncultured Synergistaceae bacterium. RNAcentral describes it as "bacterial SSU rRNA". It matches the Rfam family "Bacterial small subunit ribosomal RNA", at positions 920 to 1382 of the family's 1533-position model. Lineage: Bacteria; Thermotogati; Synergistota; Synergistia; Synergistales; Synergistaceae. The record is from RNAcentral.
CCCGCACAAGCGGUGGAGCAUGUGGUUUAAUUCGAUGAUACGCGAGGAACCUUACCUGGGCUCAAAUGUAUGUUGACGUAUUCUGAAAGGGAUACUUCUUCGGACAAUAUACAAGGUGCUGCAUGGUUGUCGUCAGCUCGUGCCGUGAGGUGUCGGGUUAAGUCCCCAUAACGAGCGCAACCCCUGCAUUCAGUUGCCAUCGGGUAAUGCCGGGCACUCUGGAAGGACUGCCAUCGACAAGAUGGAGGAAGGUGGGGAUGACGUCAAGUCAUCAUGGCCCUUAUGUCCAGGGCGACACACGUGCUACAAUGGCCGGCACGACGGGAAGCGAGUUCGCGAGGACGAGCGGAUCCCUCAAAGCCGGUCGCAGUUCGGAUUGAAGUCUGCAACUCGACUUCAUGAAGCUGGAAUCGCUAGUAAUCGUGGAUCAGCCAAGCCGCGGUGAAUACGUUCCCGGGCCUU